ACCCCGGUGGUGCAGAUGGUUAGCAUGUUUGGCUGCUAAUCAAAAGGUUGGAAGUUCAAGCCCACCCGGAGGCA
This 74-nucleotide transfer RNA is filed under the name Loxodonta africana (African savanna elephant). It matches the Rfam family "tRNA". Rfam says of the family: Transfer RNA (tRNA) molecules are approximately 80 nucleotides in length. Their secondary structure includes four short double-helical elements and three loops (D, anti-codon, and T loops). The record is from Rfam by way of RNAcentral. Lineage: Eukaryota; Metazoa; Chordata; Mammalia; Proboscidea; Elephantidae.